CACUGCAGCCCUGGGAAGUUGAAAUAAACAUUGAGGCGGUUUCUGCUAGCAAUUUCAGCUAACUUUACUCAAGGAGCAAAAAGGAAAAUAAAGGAGGGGGGGGCACUGCAGAAUUUGAGUUGGCCAGCAGCACCUGAGAGCUGGCCUCUGCAGCAGGUAAUGGACCACUGCGGAGAGGGCUGCAUUUUCUAGAAGUGCUGAAAGUUCCUUCCUGCUGUGUGGCCCCUGGGAGCAGGAACAGAUACCUCAAUAUAGACUGCCCACAGAUAAGAAAGCCAGCUCGGAGACGUUUUUAAAAGGGCUGAAACACCUCCACUAAAGUGUUCCAGGAGUGCGACUCAGGAAGAUGAACACACAAAGCCUUCUUCUGCAUUAUGUGAAGAUUCAGUGGCAACUAGAUCAUGUCUAUUAGGAUUGACUGAGGAGAGGGCCUUAUGCACAAUCCCUAGAAAAGAUUCCGUAUUUCAGAAGAUUUGUUUCCGGGCUCUGACGUCAGAGACAAAACUGGACAACAUUCAUUCAACAAAUAUGUAUUGAGUGGCUCCUAUGCGGCCAGGCACUGUUCUGAGAUUGUGGGGUGUACCAACACAAAGAAAGAGCCCUGCCCUGGAAGAGCUGACAGUUACAGGAUGCUGUAUUCCAUGUCCUCUGUCCUCUCCCUACCUCUGCUGUGGGCUGGAAAAUAUUUCCAGGAAAAGCCAGUCAACACGGAGAAAAGCCGAUCAACACUAGGCCAAUUCCUAGCCAGGAGCUGAAAGUUAAGCAUCAAGGUUGAAGAUGGCAGAAAGGGUCGGUUCUCCCCUGCGCGUCCCCGCAGCCUGUGAGAUGAGCCCUGCAGCCCCUUAAAGUGCCUUCCUGUUCCUUGACAUACUGAGGGAAUAGAAUUUGGAAGGGCAGUGCAACCAAAUAAUGUUUUUGUAAACACAACAAGGAGAACAGGGAAAUAAUGGAGAAAAGGCCUCAUCGGGUGUGCCUUGUUUGAUUAGGGUUUGGGGUAGAGGUUCAGGCCUCUAUUGCAUCCCAGGGAAAAGCUCUUCCUAAAUAUGGACACUUUUGGAGGAACUGAACUAGAACACUCCAUGGAAAACUGUAUGAUUUGAGUCUUGAGGUUCCAGACUGCAACUGCUCUUGGAACCUCCCGACUGGGCCUGGGAGGUAGACCAACUCCAGCGCCCUCACUCUGCACAACUCACCCAGGGCCGGCAAGACCCGCAAUGACUGCAACAGGGCUGGAAGCCAGAAGCAAACUUUCUGGAAGUACUGGCUAUGGGGAAGCAGGACACGAAGGAUGAUGUUUAUACUUUCUCACAGUAUAUUUGGCCGCCGCUUAGGCUACUGUUAUCCAACAUGGUAGCACCAGCCACGUGUAACUACUGAGCACUUCAAAUCUGGCCAGUCCAAAUGGAGAUGUGCUGUGAG
Rhinolophus ferrumequinum (greater horseshoe bat) is the source of this 1419-nucleotide long non-coding RNA. RefSeq lists it as uncharacterized. The transcript is spliced from 5 exons. NCBI's taxonomy places the organism in Eukaryota, Metazoa, Chordata, Mammalia, Chiroptera, Rhinolophidae. The record is from RefSeq and is a predicted model, not a curated record.